This 25-nucleotide non-coding RNA is filed under the name Rattus norvegicus (Norway rat). Lineage: Eukaryota; Metazoa; Chordata; Mammalia; Rodentia; Muridae. The record is from RNAcentral.
CACAGAAAUGACCUACAAAGCCUAA